RNAcentral lists this ribosomal RNA (305 nucleotides) under uncultured bacterium. Its description in RNAcentral is "bacterial SSU rRNA". It matches the Rfam family "Bacterial small subunit ribosomal RNA", at positions 334 to 637 of the family's 1533-position model. The record is from RNAcentral.
UCUACCUACGGGGCGCAGCAGUGAGGAAUAUUGGUCAAUGGGCGAGAGCCUGAACCAGCCAAGUCGCGUGAGGGAGUACUGCCCUAUGGGUUGUAAACCUCUUUUGUCGGGGAGCAAAAGCCGGACGUGUCCGGCUGUGAGAGUACCCGAAGAAAAAGCAUCGGCUAACUCCGUGCCAGCAGCCGCGGUAAUACGGAGGAUGCGAGCGUUAUCCGGAUUUAUUGGGUUUAAAGGGUGCGUAGGCGGUCCGGAAAGUCAGCGGUAAAAGCCCGGGGCUCAACCCCGGCGAGCCGUUGAAACUGUCC